AUUCAGUUGACGAGUCCCAAAUAGGACAAAAUCCGCGUCAAACUGGAU
This 48-nucleotide non-coding RNA is filed under the name Schistosoma curassoni. The record is from RNAcentral. Lineage: Eukaryota; Metazoa; Platyhelminthes; Trematoda; Strigeidida; Schistosomatidae.